AGUUUCUUCAAUGGGUCUGGCCAGUGCCAGUGGGCCUAGGAGACCAGAACUGCACACCUGAGGAAGAGGUCCGGUGGAACUCAGAAAUGGAUGAGACAGACCCCAGUGUGAUAGAUUUCUCCAGCCAGCCCCCCAGCUUCAAGCAACUACUGCCAAUAAUGGCUUCCUGUGUGUCUCUGCUCAAGUCUGUGCACUUCCUAAGGACCGGAGACCUGUCUGAGACCUCAGGUAAUGAGAGCAGCGUGCACUUUCUGAUGAGUUGGAGACACACACCGAUGCCUCUUGAGAUGCUGAGAAGAGCAUUGUGAGUCUUGCUUCUAGGCAGGCACUGGGAAACAGAGAACGGCGUCCAUGGAAGAUACCUUAAUCUCUCUAGACUUCCAGCUCUUUGUAGAAGGAGGGCAGAAGCUGUGGUCUGUUCUCUGCUGGCUUCUUGGGGACUAGCACUGAACCUGCAUUUGAAUUGGUCCAGAAAACAUUUUAUGAAUGAACGAAUGGCUGAAUGAAUGCUAGGAGGCCAGUCAAAACCACCAGUUGACUAAUUGUAAAGGGUUACACUUGCUGUCCACAUCUCAUUAUAGAACCAAUGUGGAGCCUCGGUGUGGAUUUUGGGACUACGGAGCUGAAACCAACCUCAUUAGGUUUUCUUAUCUAAAGCUUUAAUGUUUGAGGGAGGGGAGGGAGAAAGAAUGGAAGAGGCAGUGGGGGAAUUCAUGAUUCAAAGGUGGGGCUGGGAGGAGAGGAAAUUGGGGGUGGUCAGGAAAUGCCUGUAGAGACCCAGGGGUGGGACAAUGGCCCGGAGCUUCAUUUAGUUCUGACUUGUACUGACUAGAGGUUUCCUUUUCAUCUAAAUGCCCAUGGCUGGAGAGGGAGGCCUGCUCUAUGCUACUCCUCACCAAAAGAACUUGCUCGAUAGCAAUACAGGAAGUGCCACCAAAGUUCUUGACCAGAGGCCAUGUGUGGCUGGAAGCAUCUGCCUUUGGAGUGCAGAUGACUAGGAGACCACAACAGCCCUCAGGAGGGCCAAAGAUACCCUCCUGGGUGAAGAGUGGGGUUGAUGGUAUUCUUAUAGGAUAGAAGAGAUGUGAAUACAGACAGACAAAAGGACACAGACAGGGAUGGAGACAACGCAAAGUUGUCCAGUACGGUGUGUGCUUCUCAGCCCGAGUGUCCUGGAAAACUCAGAGAAGUGGGCUGUCGGAGGAAAGGUGAGGCAGGGAGGCUCUGAUCAAGCUAAGCAGAGCCUUUACUGUCAAGCUGACACAUUUCUGAUUCAUAUACUACUUUUUAUGUGUGAAUAAAUGAGUGACUAGAUGAUGUAAAAAUGAACAGUGGAUGAGCAAGAAGAAAGUUUGACUAAAUCUGUCCAAUCCAGUGAUGGCAGAGGCUGGGAAGAGUCUCCUUCCCAGGUGAGCUCUUUGCCUCAGUGCCACAGAGCCAAGAAGCCAUCUGUGAGCUGCAGUCAGAACGCUGGGAGAGGCAUGCCAGAGUUUCUGGGAGAAUGUCCACAGCCAUGUGAAGAUCUCUGCAUCUCUCUCUCACCGCCCAACAAAACAGUUUGGCCACUCAGGCUAAUAAGAUAACGUCUGAAGUUCCACAAUGGAGGCCUCAUCUCUUAGCCAGAAGCUGGAAUGACUGACAUCUGGUGCUGGGCCCUGUGACUGACAGGGCAUCUAGUGCUGGGUCCUGUGAUUGACAGGGCAUCCAGUGCUGGACACUGUGGUAGGCAGGACAUCCAGUGCUGGGCCCUGUGAUUGACAGGGCAUCCAGUGCUGUGUCCUAUGGAAGGCAGGACAUCCAGUGCUGGCCCCUGUGAUUGACAGGACAUCCAGUGCUAUGCCCUAUGGCAAAGGGACAGGUUCCCUCAGGCCACUGGAGCCCACCUCAAGAGUCUCUUUGCCAGGGAAAUUCUCCAAUGAAGGUUUCUGUUUGUCCUUGAUGUAAGCUCACCGAUGGAUCUGGAGAGAAAUCUUCAUCCCUCUCUCCAGAAAUCAUCCCACCACUGAUGUCCUCAAGAAGCCCAGAUUCUGUAGAUGGGAGCAUUUGGAAGACUACAACCCCUCCUGGGCCAUCUGAAGAUUGCAUGGUUCUUCUGUGACUGUUGCUAAGAUCAUUUCCUAUGUGUAAGGAUAUUUCCACUGAGCAACAGAGACACCAACCUACCCACAACACUUUCAACUCAAAAUUUAUCCUGUCUACAAGAAAUACAGGCACCAGACGAUGGAGCAGAGACUGAGGGGAUGGCCAAUGAAUAACCAGCUCAACCUGAGACCUAUUCUAUGGGCAAGCAACCCCUAACACUAUUAAUGAUACUCUGUUACAUUUGUUGACAGAAGCACUUUGUACUUUCAGAGGCUCUACCCAGCACCUGACUCAGAAAGAUACAGAUACCCACAGCCAAACAGUGGAUAGAGAUUGGGGAUUCUUAUGGAAGAAGAAGAAGGAUUAGGAGGAAGGAUUGUGGCCCCUAAGGGAAUAGGAGCUCCACAGGAAGACCAGUAGAGUCAACUAAACUGGACCCUUGGAGCUCUCAGAGUCUGAGCCACCAACCAAAGAACAUACACAGGCUGGACCUAGGCCUCCCCAAACAUAUGUGGUAGAUGUGCAACUUGGUCUUCAUGUGGGUCCCGAACAACUAGAGUGGGGGCUAUUCCAAAGGCUGUUGCCUACAUGUGGGAUGUGUUCUACUAGCUGGGCUGCCUUGUCUGGCUUCUGUGGAGGCUUACAGAGACCUGAAGUGCCAGGGUGUGGGGGAGAUACCCAGGGGGGUCCCACAUCCUCAGAGGAGAAGGGGAAGGGUGAUGGGGAAAGAAUUGUGGGAGGAGGCUGCCAGGAGGGGGCAGUGAGUGGGAUAUAAAGUAAAUAAAUAAAAAAAGAAUAUUUCCACUGUGGGGAAGAUGUCUCAGCAGUUAGAAGGUCUUGUUAUUUAUGCAGAGGACCUGGAUUUGGUUCUCAGCAUCCCCCAUGGAGGUUCACCAUCAUCCACAACUCCAAUCCCAGGGGAAUUCAGUACUUUGUUCUCACCACGGUAGGCACCAGGUUUAUGAUCAUACACAUAUAUACAGGUAAACUAUUCCUACACAUAAAAUAAAAUGAAUAAAUAUUUUUAAAAGAAAUCUUUUUAUUGAAAAGAAUAAAAAACCUUCAAGAUAACACAGCAAGAGGAAAAGACAUAGAUAAUUACAAGCGUUCAUAGGUCCAGUCGCUGUAGCCCUGUCAUGUGCUCCGGAGGUAUGCACUGAGGUUUUGUGAGGAAAACCCAUCCUUGCUGGGGUCUCACUAAGCCUGGGCAGUGGCUAAAGCCUUGCAAACCCUCCCGGAGAGUCUUGGAUGGAGGCAGCAGAACACCAUCCAAGGCCUGCUACAGAAUAAGAGAGGAGAACGCAGUAUGAGGUUCGAUGAGUCUCCCCUGACUGGGGGCUGUGGAGCUGAGACCCAGGAGAGGGGAAGGGGGCUGCCUAGCAUAACCCUCUGUUUCUAAACAUGUUAGAAUUGAUUCUAGACCUUUCUUCUUGGCUCCAGUUUCCCUCAGACCCACAGGCAGACUCUGGCUGUCCCUGUUGAGCAGGCUCAGUUGUCUCCACCAGUUUCUUGGAUGUGCUCCACACUGUGGCAGUGAACGAGGCACUCGGGGCCUGAUGUGACAAAAGAGGAAAACAUCCAGAAGACACUCCAACCUGGAAUCCAGGAGCCCCAAUUCUCACGGAGCGACUUUGGACAGGUGGCCAAUCCACUAGAACUCUGUUUCCCCAUCAACCAGCACCUUGACCUUGAAUGACCUUUCAGAACUCCCCGAAUCCCUUCAGAACUCCCCGAAGAGAGAUGAUUCCAGCAUACCAGCACUCCUAAAAUUUCAAUCUCUAAGCUCAAGUUUAUUUUCUAUCUUUUGCCUUACUGCUGGCUGGCUUGCUCUUGGUGUAAUUUAUUUAGACUGAGCCAUGCUGAGCGGUUUGGAACUGAGUUUGCAUGAAUCACUGUCCAUAAAAUCAAGUUAAGUGGAUUUCAUUGCACACGGCGCACCUGUGUACAGACGCGGCAAGAAGCAGCCGGAUUUUCUCGGCUCUUCCAGACCCCUGUUAGAAUUGCUUCUCCACUGAUACAGCACUCACCUGUAUUUAUUGUCCAUUGUUAUAACAGCCUCCCUCCGAAAGCUGAAAGUAAAGCGUUGGAGCAAUUUCUCCCGCAGAUCAUUUUAUAUAGCUGUCCAGGUUCCCUAUCUAGCCAGGAAAACUGGCAUUGAUUUUCCCUAUUUUAUCAGAGUCGACAAAUAUCAGAUCCACCUCCAAUUCAGUCGUCCCACAAAUUUUUAUUGAGUGUUAUAUGAAGUCAUCUUGAGGUAGGUACAGGGCUGAGGCUCAGCGUUCUAAGACCUUACAAACUGGGUCAAGCAUUGAGCAACAACUUGAGGUUAAACAACGCAGGAGGCUGCUGCCGGGCAGGAAACGGCAUAUUGGAUACAUUCUGAGUGAGGAGAAGCCAAACACAAGGCAAGUGACACAGGGAAGGAUUAUGGGGAAUUUGGGAAGGAGGCUGAGUAUGUGAGAGUGACUUCAAUUUGGACCAUUGCCCACAUUCAUCCCCCUCUAUCCCUCUGACAGCCCGGACAGCCAUCAUCCGAGUUCAUCAUGUUCCGUAAAAGGAUGUGAUGGGGUGGGGGUGGAGAUGACAUUUAUGGGAAGAAAUGCCCAAAGGGUCUGCUCUGGUGCUCGUGAAAAUAUAUUUCAGAGCCAGUGUGAAGGAUUAUAAAGGGAUUUAUUUCAUUUUGUAGCACAGCCAAAAGCACAGGUAGGCUCUGGACUAAAAUGGUGGCUUAGGAGACUGGCUGCUUGUAUCUUUGUUCUUCUUUUCUGUCAUGAUGUAGGAAGUGCGUGGCCUCUGUUCUGCCACAGAAUAAACAUUUUGGUUUUCCAGGCUGA
This is a long non-coding RNA of Mus musculus (house mouse), 4916 nucleotides long. RefSeq annotates it as long intergenic non-protein coding RNA of erythroid differentiation 1. The transcript has 7 exons. The record is from RefSeq and is marked validated. NCBI's taxonomy places the organism in Eukaryota, Metazoa, Chordata, Mammalia, Rodentia, Muridae.